GUUACCUUUACUCUGCCUUUAUCCUUGUACCGAAAUAUAGCAAAGCUUGGAAAGGUCUCUCUCAUCUCUACGGGUUUAACAACUCUGAUUCUUGGAAUUGUAAUGGCGAGGGCAAUUUCACUGGGUCCACACAUACCAAAAACAGAAGACGCUUGGGUAUUUGCAAAGCCCAAUGCCAUUCAAGCGGUCGGGGUUAUGUCUUUUGGUGAGUAUUUGGUUUCAAAGGCCCUUUCUCAAUGUGGAGUUCUCUGUUCCAUGAAAAAGUGCUGUGUUUCAUAUUUAUGUCUGGAUAGCAGAUGUCCUAAGUUUUAGACUUCCUAUUAGCAGCAUAUGAUCUAGUUUGUGCCAAUAUAAAAUUAGGCUCAAACUUUUCUCACUCAUCACUAAAAUUUGCUUCAAUUUGGAGAAAUCUAUUUCUCAUGCAGAAACUCAUUACAGUCAUCUUGUUUCUUAACUUGGAAGGCUAGCAAGUGUUAUGGACUUCUUCAAACCCUUUAUUAUGUCCCAAAUGGCAAAGGAAGCCACAGAAUGAAAACGAUGGGAAAAAGAUUUCCUUCAGAUGGGAAGGGUCAUUAGGAAAAGGAAAAUGAGAGAGAAGGUUGGACUGGCCUGGUUUAUAUCAAGAGUAACAUGAAAAGACCAUAUAAGCCUGAUGUGAAUGAAUGGUCUCAUUUCUAGAACUA
This 683-nucleotide small RNA is filed under the name Pan troglodytes (chimpanzee). RNAcentral describes it as "retained intron". The record is from RNAcentral. Lineage: Eukaryota; Metazoa; Chordata; Mammalia; Primates; Hominidae.